CCAUGACAGGGGGCGGCGCGGCUCGCCGGCCGGCGCCCUCCCGGCGGCGGGUUUAGGUUGCAACACCACUCCUAGACCUACAUGACCUCGUGCACGGCAACAGCUCCCCGGGAGAUGGCCGGAGCCAUCCCCUCCACGGCGACAGGCGGCGACUCCCUCGGCCGGCCGUGGCUUCUUACAACAACAGCUUAACCGACUCAAACGACUACCUCUACUCCAUCCUAGGACACUACAGACUCGACUAUGACUACUCAAGACAGAAGAGAAGCAACGCAAGAUGGUUCUCACUGUGAGCGGGCGGCGCGACGGCGGCGGACAGAAGCGGCGGCGUGCACGGCUACUCCGGCAAGGAUGUGGGACAACGACUGGCCUGGAGUGUAGCUAGGGUGUCUGUGGAGGAGUGGGUGAGAGGAAUCGACGGGAGACGAGAUGUGGCGGCGGAAUUUUGCUCGGCGGUGAUGCUGGACAGAGGAGAGCGGGCGGCGGUAAAAAGAGGAGGCAGUGAAACGGUGGCGCGGGAACAGUAACUAUUCAAGCGAUUCACCCCUCGCAUGGAUGACACCGUGGCCUAUCCGUAGGCUUGCGUGGUGAGGAGGUGGCCUAGCUAGUUGCCCUGGCGGUCCACCGACGACGGCGGCGGCGACACGUCUUGAUGCUCAGUCACCGUUCCUCUGGCGCUCGUGACCUUCAGAGCCGACUGGUGGUCGAUCUUCAAUCCGACGGCCGCUAGCGUCUGAACCGAAGUUGGAGAUAAUCUCAAACUCUCCAUCUUUUAUUUUGACUCCAUCUUGAGAUAAACAUCGAAUUCGACUCAAUUUUGAUUUGUUUCUCGGGUUCUUUUGGAGUUCACUGAAGAAACUGACAUUCAGUUCGUCAGUUCUAACAGUGGCGUUGAUCUCACUUUGGGAACCAAAUUAAGGACUCAAUCCUUGUUCUGUCAAUCCAACUUCUGCCUAAACAUGUUCUACUAUGUCCCAAUGUUCCAUUUUGCUCAUGAACAAGUACCUUUCUUGAUCCACUUUGCUCUGAAUUUAAAUUCCAAGUCGACCUCCUACUGUCGGUUUCAGACUUAGACAUUUUCAGAGUUUCAGUUAACUGUGAUUUUGUGCUGACUUUGAGCUCGAUUUUGACUUCCUUCCCUUCACUGUUUCUGGCCAACAACACAUGAAUAUUGUAGUCCAAAGUUCAUACUUCAAGAUGGUAUAAUUGCCCUGGUGCACUUAGUUGCAAAAUUCUCCAGAAAUUAAUUUUGAAAACGGACUCUGUUGCUGUUUUACUGGACUGCUGUUUUCGGACGGUGAACAGUAGACGUCAUUUUUCCUUUUCUUUCUCUGAUUCCUUUGAGAUAAUUAGCACUAAUUUGGUUCCAAUUUCUUGAUCCCUUAAUUCCAAGUACUCUUACACUUAUACUCCACAUGUUUGACAAAUUUUUCUGAAUUCCAAAUUUGAAAUUCAAAUUUCGGUGAAAUUUGACCGAAUUUGAUCUUUUUGCCAAUUUCUUUUCUUUUUCUUUUGGAUUUCUUUCGGAUUUCUCAUAAUUACUUUGAUACUUCAGAUGGCAAUUAUUACAGCCUCUCCCCCUUAACAGAAUCUCGUCCCGAGAUUCCCGGGGUUAAAUCCUUGGUUUUUGGAAUGGAAAGGAAACUGCGUCAGGUCAAUUACUCUUUCUUUUUCUGUACAAGGAUAGUGGGGUGGUGGUUCUUGUUCCUUAGUUCCUGACGGUUUCAAAUAAUUCCGAAUAUUUAGACUCUAGGUCUUCAGCUUUUUCCCAAGUAGCUUCAUCCGAAAUAUGGUUUUUCCAUUGCACUUUAUAAAACGUGAUACUCCGAGUUCGGGUAUCGCGUGUCUUUUGAUCCAGAAUUUUAAUAGGUUUCUCUUCAUAUGUUAGAUCCGGCUUGAUUUCAAUUUCUGGAUCUUCUAAAAUUUCUUCUGGAACUCUGAGGCACUUCUUAAGCUGGGAUACAUGAAAUACAUCAUGUAUAGAAGCAAGUUGAUCAGGCAAUGACAGUUUAUAUGCCACGGGACCUUUUCGUUCCAGGAUUUCAUAGGGACCAAUAUACCUCGGGGCUAACUUACCCUUUACUCCAAAGCGUUGGACGCCUUUCAUUGGGGAUACCUUUAAGUACACAAAAUCUCCGGCACAAAAUUUCAAGGACCGUCUUCUUUUGUUUGAAUAACUCUUUUGCCGAGACUGAGCUACUUCUAAAUGCUAGCGAAUUUUCUGGACCUUCUCCUCGGUUUCCACAACCAAGUCCGAUCCCAGGUGUGUCCUUUCUCCUACUCCUGACCAAUUUAGAGGAGUUCGGCAUCUUCGACGAUACAAGGCUUCGAAAGGUGCCAUCUUAAUGCUAGCUUGAUAGCUAUUAUUAUAAGAGAAUUCGGCUAGGGGCAAACAUUCAUCCCAUAGCUUAGAGAAGGUAAGGACACAUGCUCUCAACAUGUCUUCUAAAAUUUGAUUGACCCUUUCUGUCUGUCCUCCAGUUUGAGGAUGAUAAGCAGAACUUCUAAUGAGGGUAGUACCCAUGUCCUUUUGCAGUCGUUCCCAGAAUCUGGAAACAAACUGGGAACCUCGAUCGGAGAUUAUGGUUUUUGGCACUCCGUGCAAGGAUACAAUCCGGGCUAUAUAGAGCUUGGCAUAUGUCGACACCGGGUAAGUCGUUUUGACUGGAAUAAAGUGAGCUGACUUAGUAAGGCGGUCGACAAUAACCCAGAUGGAAUCAUACCCCUUUGAAGUGGUAGGUAAUCCUACUAUGAAAUCCAUAGAAAUAUCUUCCCAUUUCCAGACAGGAAUUUCUGAAGGUUGUAACAAACCUGCCGACUUCUGUAGUAUGGGUUUAACUCUUUGGCAAGUGUCACAUUCUGACACAUAUCUUGCAAUUUCAGGUUUCAUUUUGGCCCACCAAAAUCUUUGCUUUAAAUCUUGGUACAUUUUAUUGGUUCCGGGAUGAAUGGAGAACUUGGACGAAUGUGCUUCUUCUAGGAUUAAUCUCCUCAGGUUCUCAUCUUCCGGAACUACUAUCCUGUUCUUGAAAUAUAGUCCUCCGUCUUCUUCUUGAUUAAGUUCGGGAAUCUUUCCCUCAGCUUUUUGCUGACAAAGUGUCUUAAUCCAUGGAUUUUCUUUUUGGGCUGUUAUGAUUCUUUCUUUUAGGGUAUCUUGAAUCAUAACAUUCUGAAGGGUGCCUUGUUUUACUAUUUCCAAACUUAAUUCUCCCAUUUCUUCACACAAGAUCUUCAAGUUAGACUGGACGGUAGUGCAGUGGCAUUGGGCCUUUCUGCUCAAGGUGUCGGCCACCACGUUAGCUUUACCAGGAUGGUAAUGAAUUUCUAGUUUAUAGUCUUUAAUCAGUUCUAGCCACCGUCUUUGCCUCAUGUUUAAGUCCAUCUGAGUGAAGAUGUAUUUCAAGCUUUUGUGGUCAGUAAAGAUACGACAUUCACUACCUAAAAGAUAGUGUCGCCAUAUCUUUAGUGCAUGCACUACGGCAGCAAGCUCUAAAUCAUGAGUGGGGUAAUGCUCUUCAUGUCGCUUUAACUGACGAGAAGCAUAGGCAAUAACCCUUCCUUCUUGCAUUAGAACACACCCGAUGCCUGUUCCUGAGGCAUCGCAGUAUACAUCAAAGGGUUUUUCUAUAUCAAGUUGAGCUAGCGCUGGGGCUAUAGUCAAUAAUUUCUUCAAGACUUGGAAUGAUUCUUCACACUCAGGUUUCCAGUCAAAUUUCGUGUCCUUCUUUAAUAACUCUGUGAUUGGUUUAGAAACCUUUGAGAAAUUGGGAAUGAAUCUACGGUAAUAGCUAGCCAUUCCCAAGAAACUUCUUACUUCAUGAGCAGAAGUUGGUGAUUUCCAAUCCAGUAUAUCCUUGACUUUUCCGGGAUCUACUUCGAUUCCUUUUUCGGAUAGUAUGUGCCCAAGGAAUGGAACUUUCUUUAACCAGAAUUCACACUUACUAAAUUUGGCAUAUAACUGGUGUUCUCGGAGUCUAUUUAGAACAAUGCGCAAGUGUUGCGCAUGUUCCUCCUCAUUUUUAGAAAAGACAAGGAUAUCAUCUAUAAAGACAACCACAAAUUUAUCUAGCUUCGGCAUGAAUACUGAAUUCAUGAGGUAUAUAAAAUGCGUUGGGGCAUUUGUCAGUCCGAAAGACAUAACCAAAUACUCAUAUAGUCCAUAUCGGGUUGAAAAGGCUGUUUUUGGUAUGUCCUCGGGUUUUAUCUUAAUCUGGUGGUACCCUGACCGAAGGUCGAUUUUUGAAAAGACCUUAGCUCCGGACAACUGGUCGAACAACAAGUCAAUCCAUGGCAGCGGAUACUUGUUUUUGAUGGUUACCGCAUUCAAAGGGCGGUAAUCCACACAUAGCCUUAAUGUACCAUCCUUCUUUUUAACAAAAAGAGCUGGGCAGCCCCAUGGUGAAGUGCUAGGUCGGACAAAACCCUUAUCCAACAGUUCUUGGAGUUGUGUUUUUAACUCAGCUAGCUCUUUAGGUGGCAUUCGAUAUGGUCUUCUAGAAAUAGGAGCGGUGCCUGGUUCUAACUCAAUAGUGAAUUCUACCGCUCUAUCAGGCGGUAGCCCAGGCAAUUCUUCUGGAAAUACAUCUGGAAACUCAUUAACCACAGGAAUAGAUUCUAGAGUCACUGCUCUAGUCUUUUUGACCAUUUGGUCCAAACAAGGUUGAACGGGUAAUUGGAGUGCGAAAGAGUGGCCUUGGUCAUCUCUCAUGCUAACGACCCGUGUAAUCAUAUUAAUUUGAACUUCAUGUUCUUUCAUCCAAUUUACUCCCAAAAUAAUAUCUAUUCCUUGAUCUUCCAGAAUUAAAGGAUAAGCUCCCACCUUAUUUCCUUCUAGGUUUAAAAUCACAUUGCGAGCUACUUGAUUUGUAUUCUGUGUGGCACCAGUAGCUUGAAUAGCAUAUUUGACCUUUAAGGUAUGAACUUCUAGUUGAUGUUGUGUAACAAACUUUCUACUUAUAAAAGUAUGCGAUGCGCCGGAAUCAAACAAAACCAUAGCAGGAUAAUUGUUAACAAGAUACAUACCUGCUAGGAUUGGCUCUCCUUCUGGAAUUUCUUCUACAGUCAUAUAGUGAGCUUGUCCCGUCUUGGUGUUGACAAACUUGCGAUGGACAAACUUUUGUCCAGUGCCUUGGCCCGAGGUCUGAGCCUUUAAGUUUGCGUUUCCCCCAACUUUGGGAAAACGACAGUCUCGGGCGAAAUGUCCUGGCUUCCCACAGUUGAAACAAACCUGUGGAGUUCCUGAAGGAAUAGGGUUAUGAAACCCGAGAGAUGGUGCAAUUCCAGGAUGAGGGGUAGCACUGGGAGCUCUGGCAUUCCAGGACUGGAAAGGACGUUGCUGAAAUGGAGGACGAUACAUGGGUCGGGGAGGACCUCGAUAUACCAUCCUCAUUCUCUGGGGAGCAUUCCCAAAGUUCCCAGAAGGAACAGUCUUCCUCUUUAAUGCUUCUUCUUUCUUCAAAGUUUCAUCUAACAUUUUCAUCUUUUCUUCCGCGGUAAUGGCUGUACUUACCGCGGAGCUAUAAUCGGCGAAAGUGCAGGUGGAUAGCUUCUCCUGCAUUCUCGCAUUAAGUCCUCGGAGAUAACAAUCUCUCUUUCUGGUUUCAGUGUUGACAUGCUCUGGUGCAUACUGGGCUAGGUGAUCGAACUCAUUGGUAUAUGCCAGAAUGCUGCGAGUUCCUUGUUGCAGUCCCAAGAACUGUUCUAGUUUCAUUCUCAUGACACCUUCCGGUAUAAACUGCGUCCGAAAGGCUUCCUUAAAAUCUUCCCAUGUAACUUCCCUCCCCACUGGUUGCCUGGCUAGAUGACUGGUCCACCAAGUUGCUGCGGGACCUUGAAGCUGAAGCCCUGCAAAUUCAGCUUUCUGAGCGGCAGUACAUUGGGGGAUUACUCGAAAUUUUUGUUCCAUGGCCUGAAGCCACUCGUUAGCCUCUAGUGGAUGUUCGGCCUUCAAGAAUACUGGGGGACGUGUUUCCAGAAAUUGGGUGUAGGAUACACCCUGCUCCAGAUCUCUCCUACGUCCACCGUUGCCAGUGUUCUGUACUAUCAUCUGGAGUAAUCGGGCUUGUUCUGCCCCAGAAUUCAUUAGACUGGCUAUGGCGUCAGCCAGCGUAGGUGCUCUGGGUAAAUCCUCUUCCUGUCCUCCGGAACCUGAAGCUCGGGGUUCUUUGGGAUCCGUCAUGCUGCCAAGAGUAACAAGAUAUUAAUAUCUAUGGUGCAUUUUAUCAACAACUCUCUGCACACUAACAUGUCACACAUCACAGCAUUCACACACAAACCAUACUUAUGUACAUACUUAUUUAUAUUACAUGCCCAAGAGUUAAUUUUUACAAAACCCCUUAGUGUCACUUGUCUAUCACCCAUAUCUUACAAGAAUAUAUUACAGCACUUUCAAACCAAGUUCACUUCAACCGUCAUAAGGGAAAAUGCCCAGUUCUUCGGCAUUUAAUCCCAGUCGAGCCAUGGCUUCUUGCAGGACGUCUUGGUCCACAGUCAUCAAAGUUUGCCCUGGGGGAGCAACAGGUGGAGCUUGAUUGACAGAAUUUUCACUCCCGGAUUCCGGUCCGUAGUCACUCCAAGUGCGGGAAGUAUCAGAGGUGCUAAUUCCAGAUUUUCCUUCCAUUUCUUCCGGAUCCUCUUCUUCUUCUUCGCCUCCUGGUUCUUCUUCUCCCCACUGCUGCAUGGGACCAUAGCCCUGAGGAUCUAGUCCAUCGACAUUAGCAUUGGCCCAAGCAAACUGUUGAUUUCCUGCAGGGACUUCGCCCUGGUCAUCUUCCAUGUCCAUAUCAAAGCCUUCCAGAUUCUCGUGAGCAUACAAAUCUAUCUCAGGAUCUGCCGGUGGCACCGGAUCUUCUUCUAUUUCUAUCACAGGUACUAGUUGAUCUGCUUCCUCCGGGUUCGGUGGUUGAGGCUCUUCUGGUGGGGGAGGUGGUGGAACAUUGACAAUAUUUUGUGCAGGUUCCUGAGCCUGCAUUUCUUCCAGGGCUAGACGAAGUGAUAGAAUCUCGUCUAGCUGUUGGAACCUUUCCGCCUCCAGCCUAUGGACAUUGGAUUCAGCUUCUUCCCUUGCUCUAUCCGCCAUACUCCGACUGGCUUCAAUAAACCCUUGCAUCACCCUAAGUUUUUCUUCAUAAUCUUCAAGCCUUCUGGACUGCUCUCGCAUUGCCUUUUCCAUCUCAUGUUCCCUUGCCAUUGCCGCUGUCUUGUACAUUUCCUUGUCAUACCGGGCACCCAUCACUUCCAUCCUAGUAUCUUCGUUCUUCUGCCUCUGAUUAUAAUAUUCUCGGAUACAAGCUUGAUGCAAGUUGUACAUAGCGGUCAUAUAAUCAGAAGCAGCAGCCACCAACACAUCGUGCUCCACACGAGAUGUGUUCUUCAAGGCUUUAAUCCUCCGCUUCCAUACCCCGUCAUCUUGAUGCUUGAUUGGAUAGAAUCGAGCGGAGCUCGACCCUACUUCCACCUUGUGGUUCUCACACAGCUCAGUAAGGGCUGUCAUGGCUGCCCUUUCUAUAGUAUCGUUGAAUUCAAAACCCGAUUCCAUUACUUCCUCCAAACGCCCAACUUAAGCUGGUUUAAGUGCGCCUAAUCGCCGUUAGAACGGCAAUUAUCUGAAACGCACUUAAAACAGCAUAAGUCCGGUAGUCCGUCGAGUGUCCCUAGGACUCCUCGAAGGAUCCACGGCGUGUCUCAUAACCAUACAUCAGGAUAAUAUCCGCGAUGGGAUAAUAUCAACAAACAUUACAUUUUUACAUACAUAAUUAAGAGGUACGAGUUAUUACAAGACAUAAGUUGAGGCAAACUUAGUGAUGCAGUGUUAGACAAGUUCUAAGAUUAAACAUAAAUAGUUCAGGAGAAGAUGCGUAGAUAAACUUUUCUCUAGGGUAUUGUGAGACUCGGAUCAAUACCCUAGGGCUUCGGGGUCUUCUCCUCGGUAGCCUCCUGUGGAGCUUCUGAAAGAUAACCACAAGGGGAAAACCCUGAGUACGGGGUACUCAGCAAGUCUUACCCGACUAACCAAUAUAAUAGUUUUUCUUUGGAAUGCAUGUCAGCCUUUGGGUGUGCUUGGUUGACACAAUUUUGCCGAAAAAGCUUACUACGAGUGAGGCCUUAGUUUUAUCUUUUAUUUGAGUUAAGUCAUUACCUAACCAUUCUAGAUGAUAACGAAAGUAAAAACAAUCAUAGCUGUUAAAUCAUACAUUACUUGACAACAGGAGAUUUUAUAUUGCAUGAAUUAAUACUACGAUGCUCAACAGCGAUCAAGUGCAUUCAUAACCGAGAAUUGCGGCGAUCCGGAUCUAAUUACAUCCUGCAGGAGAAUACCCUGAUCACCAGCAUUAUACGACUGUCCAGGUCGUACUAACAACCUCUCGAUUAGCAAAGUCAAUGAUUAGGAAUACGACUACCCGGACCCAGGGAUGCACCCCCACAUGGGACCCCACGUCUAGCCUGAUCUCCAUGUGAGUUUCAGGCUACACCCCUGCCAAUCUCCAGCACGUCAAGCGCGGGUACGAAGCAUUCCUGAUCAUAGAAUUUACUAAUCUACUGGGCUUUUCUGGUCCCAUACCCAAUAAGUGAUCAGAUGCUUAUCACUUGAUCAAAAGUUAAGACACGAAUCGGGCCUUAACUAGAGUAAUCUAGCAGACAGAACUACAUCUCUAGCUUCUGUCCGUUUUCAUAUUCCAGACUAUCCUUCAUAAGCAACAUGUAUGAUUUAAGAGUUUUCCUUGAGGUUGGUAAACCAAGCAUGUAAGCGAGUAAGCAAUUCUAGACUUGGGUAGUUUCUAAGAUUUGAACAAGUGGCAAAGAUGUCCUUAAAUCAAGGCAUGAUCAUACAUAAGAAUAGGUUUCAAUCAACUCCUAGACUUAGUGCAUACAUAUACAAUUAACCUACAACUAGUCACAUGAAAUAACGACUCCAAAAAUAGAUAGGUAUAAAUGCACCGGGGCUUGCCUUGUUCGUUAAAAAGAUUAGUAGAAGCUGACGGAUUUGCUUCACAGGGAACAAACUCAAACACCUCGUCGGACUCCAAGGGUCCUUCUAAAAAUUCCCAUUAAUCUUCUUCCGGUGCUUCUGGAUCUACGGCACAUAUACAUGCAUGGGGUUAGAAUGCAAACUUUUUGAAUAACAGACUAUACAACUUUCCUUCAUGAUAAAGUUGCAAGCCAACAAGGACUAUACAACUUAUCAUGAUAAAGUUGCAAGCCAACACACAAGAAUCUAAAAAGAUUAACCUAUACUUUUUAUUUUUCUUAUUUAACCCUCCCUAUAGCUUUUUAUUUUAAUUUUAGAAAAAGUAGCAAUUAUUUUCUAACUUAAAAAUCUAAUCUCCUAUGGGUUAAGAAUUAUUUGUGAUUGAUAAAGCGUUAUUCAUAUUUUAUACAUUUUAUAAAUAUUAAGUAUUUAUUUAAUUACCUUAAAAGGAAGGCAUUAAAUAAAUACCCGAAUUUUUAUUAUUUUCCUAGGGUGUAAAAAUUUUAAUGCAUAAAGGAAAAUAAAACAAGCCUAACAAAAUUGGUUUCACUAAUUUUGGACACUCCUACAAAUUUCUGUGAUUAAAAUAGUGUAAAACGAAUUUAAACGAAUUAAAUUGCUAAAGGAAAUCUAAUUUUUCCCGAAAAUCGCCCGGAAAACUUUUCUUACACACCCACUCUCUACCCUCUCUCACGCACGCUGGGCCCCACGGCGCGGACCCCACCUUUCCCUAUUCAAUCUACCCGCCGGCCUUUUCUUCCCCCCGACGGGCCCCGCGGGCCGAUUUUCUUUUUUCUUCCUUUUUCUGCGGCCCAGCACCGGCCUUUCGGCCCACCUGACUUUUUCUCUUCCUCUGCGAAAACCGGCCAGCUCCACUGGGCCUUCGGCCCUUUUCUUUUUCCAUUUAUAUGCGCGCGCUGCUGGGCCUUCAGGUCGCGGCCCAGCAACCGACCGCGCGCUGCCUCCUGGGCCUCCGACGCGCCGGCCUGCCACUGACCGCGCGCUCGGCCUGCCGUCUCCCUCCCCUUUCUUCUCUGACGCGCGGGCCCGGGCGCCCAGCGCCUUCUUCUACCUCCCGCCCAAACGCGCCCAUGACAGGGGGCGGCGCGGCUCGCCGGCCGGCGCCCUCCCGGCGGCGGGUUUAGGUCGCAACACCACUCCUAGACCUACAUGACCUCGUGCACGGCAACAGCUCCCCGGGAGAUGGCCGGAGCCAUCCCCUCCACGGCGACAGGCGGCGACUCCCUCGGCCGGCCGUGGCUUCUUACGACAACAGCUUAACCGACUCAAACGACUACCUCUACUCCAUCCUAGGACACUACAGAUGUCUGUGGAGGAGUGGGUGAGAGGAAUCGACGGGAGACGAGAUGUGGCGGCGGAAUUUUGCUCGGCGGUGAUGCUGGACAGAGGAGAGCGGGCGGCGGUAAAAAGAGGAGGCAGUGAAACGGUGGCGCGGGAACAGUAACUAUUCAAGGGAUUCACCCCUCGCAUGGAUGACACCGUGGCCUAUCCGUAGGCUUGCGUGGUGAGGAGGUGGCCUAGCUAGUUGCCCUGGCGGUCGACCGACGAUGGCGGCAGCGACACGUCUUGAUGCUCAGUCACCGUUCCUCUGGCGCCCGUGACCUUCAGAGCCGACUGGUGGUCGAUCUUCAAUCCGACGGCCGCUAGCGUCUGAACCGAAGUUGGAGAUAAUCUCAAACUCUCCAUCUUUUAUUUUGACUCCAUCCCGAGAUAAACAUCGAAUUCGACUCAAUUUUGAUUUGUUUCUCGGGUUCUUUUGGAGUUCACUGAAGAAACUGACAUUCAGUUCGUCAGUUCUAACAGUGGCGUUGAUCUCACUUUGGGAACCAAAUUAAGGACUCAAUCCUUGUUCUGUCAAUCCAACUUCUGCCUAAACAUGUUCUAUUAUGUCCCAAUGUUCCAUUUUGCUCAUGAACAAGUACCUUUCUUGAUCCACUUUGCUCUGAAUUUAAAUUCCAGUUCGACCUCCUACUGUCGGUUUCAGACUUAGACAUUUUCAGAGUUUCAGUUAACUGUGAUUUUGUGCUGACUUUGAGCUCGAGUUUGACUUCCUUCCCUUCACUGUUUCUGGCCAACAACACAUGAAUAUUGUAGUCCAAAGUUCAUACUUCAAGAUGGUAUAAUUUCCCUGGUGCACUUAGUUGCAAAAUUCUCCAGAAAUUAAUUUUAAAAACGGACUCUGUUGCUGUUUUACUGGACUGCUGUUUUCGGACGGUGAACAGUAGACGUCAUUUUUCCUUUUCUUUCUCCGAUUCCUUUGAGAUAAUUAGCACUAAUUUGGUUCCAAUUUCUUGAUCCCUUAAUUCCAAGUACUCUUACACUUAUACUCCACAUGUUUGACAAAUUUUUCUGAAUUCCAAAUUUGAAAUUCAAAUUUCGGUCAAAUUUGACCGAAUUUGAUCUUUUUGCCAAUUUCUUUUCUUUUUCUUUUGGAUUUCUUUCGGAUUUCUCAUAAUUACUUUGAUACUUCAGAUGGCAAUUAUUACACUGCGAUAGGACGGGGCGAGCGCCGGGCUGGCCAACUGCCGGCCGCGCGCAUCCCUUCCCCCUGCCGCGUAUCUGCUCCGCCCAACCAGUGCGUCGCCCGCUCGCCGGAGAAGCC
Molecule: long non-coding RNA, 11591 nt
Filed under: Setaria viridis
Lineage: Eukaryota; Viridiplantae; Streptophyta; Magnoliopsida; Poales; Poaceae
Description: long non-coding RNA (SVIR_LNC006709)
Source: RNAcentral